GAUGAACGCUGGCGGCAUGCCUAACACAUGCAAGUCGGACGGGAAAUGGUGUUUCCCUUGGCGGUCGGGCGAGGAACGCGUAAGAAACUGCCCGUGGGCUGGGAACAACAGCUGGAUACGGCUCCUAAUACCCCGUUGGCACCGGAUACAACGUGGGGAUCCGCCUGGGGAGGGGUCGGCGUCUGCGUAGCCAGGUGGUGAGGCAAUAGCUUACCAAGGCGAUGAUCAGUAGCUGUUCCGAGAGGAAGAUCAGCCACACUGGUACGGGGACACGGCGCAGGCACCUACGGGAGGCAGGAGUGGGGAAGUUUCCGCAAUGGGGGAAGGCCGGACGGGGCAAUGCGGCGGGGAGGUAGAAGGCGUAGGGGGCGUGAACUGCUUGUCACGGAGAAGAAGCAAUGACGGUAUCUGGGGAAUAAGCAUCGGCUAACUCUGUG
RNAcentral lists this ribosomal RNA (437 nucleotides) under uncultured bacterium. RNAcentral describes it as "partial 16S ribosomal RNA". It matches the Rfam family "Bacterial small subunit ribosomal RNA", at positions 28 to 507 of the family's 1533-position model. The record is from RNAcentral.